CGUGUAGGUGGCUUGGUAAGCCGCGUGUGAAAUCCCGGGGCUCAACCCCGGAACGGCACGCGGGACUGUCAGGCUAGAGCAUGGUAGAGGCGAGUGGAAUUCCUGGUGUAGCGGUGGAAUGCGUAGAGAUCAGGAAGAACACCGGUGGCGAAGGCGGCUCGCUGGGCUAUUGCUGACACUGAGGCGCGAAAGCGUGGGAGCAAACA
RNAcentral lists this ribosomal RNA (206 nucleotides) under uncultured bacterium. RNAcentral describes it as "partial 16S ribosomal RNA". It matches the Rfam family "Bacterial small subunit ribosomal RNA", at positions 568 to 774 of the family's 1533-position model. The record is from RNAcentral.